GUGUCCCAGCAACAGCCCAUGUGCCCAUUGAGUUGGGCAAGGAGAACGUAGCUGAGAAGAGCUGUCCUGAAGAACUGGAGCCUGAACAACCUUCCAAGAGUUUAGAAGCUGUCUGGCUCCUGAGUCUCAGCUCCCCACUCCCAAAGGCAAAUGCUGGAGGCCUUACAUUAUCAGCCAACUUUGUUCUUUUCAUGCUCUUAACUGGAGGGGUGAGGGGAGAAUUGGGCAGCAAAGUGGUCCAGGGACCACUAACUGUUUGCUAGAGGGGCAGAAAGAGCUAAGUGGCUGCAGCUGCUCUAGUGUUCACAAGAUGAGACAGUGAGGGUGGGAGAAGAGUUACUGGGAGCAAAACACACAACAGGGAAACCACUAGUUUUUUUAAGUUGCUCUGGAGAUUGGUAGGGAGCAGCAAAGCAGAGGAAGUCUGGCGGCAGAAUUGAUUUGGGAGGUCAGGAGUUUUGGUUGAUUGAGUUUGGGAAUCCAAACCCUAGAGGUCCCACUGGUGGGGGCAUAAAAGGUUGGACAAAAAGAGAAAGAAGGUUCUAUUCAGCAAACAAAAGGUGGAGUUGAUGGAAAGGCAAAUGGCAUUUGAAAAGUCAUGGAAAAAGGAGCCUUAAGGAUAUUUUGACAGCAUAUAAUUAACUGUAAAGGAUUUCAGAGGGCCAUCUCUACAGAUCGUAAAUGCUCUAGGUUCCAAGAUUUUUGUUUCUUGAACUAAAAUUUCUCACACAGCGUAUGUUGCAAGUGGUUUUUAAACAAUUUUCCUCCUCCUGUUAGGAAAAUGACAAUGGUGACAUCUACUGUUCAAAGAAAAAGAGCUACUUAAGUGCUAACACCAAAUGACUUAUCCUUUGUACUUGUUAAGUUAUUAACAAUUGUAUGCUCUAUAACAAUCUGCAAACAAACAUGGCAUAG
This is a long non-coding RNA of Mauremys reevesii (Reeves's turtle), 915 nucleotides long. RefSeq lists it as uncharacterized. Lineage: Eukaryota; Metazoa; Chordata; Testudines; Geoemydidae. The transcript has 4 exons. The record is from RefSeq and is a predicted model, not a curated record.